UCCCUGGCAGUCCAGCAGUUAAGACUCUGAAUUCCCAAUGCAGAGGAUACAGGUUUGAUCCCUGGUCAGGGAA
RNAcentral lists this transfer RNA (73 nucleotides) under Bos taurus (domestic cattle). It matches the Rfam family "tRNA". Rfam says of the family: Transfer RNA (tRNA) molecules are approximately 80 nucleotides in length. Their secondary structure includes four short double-helical elements and three loops (D, anti-codon, and T loops). RNAcentral also lists the same sequence under 5 other names. Lineage: Eukaryota; Metazoa; Chordata; Mammalia; Artiodactyla; Bovidae. The record is from Rfam by way of RNAcentral.